CCUACGGUAGGCAGCAGUGAGGAAUAUUGGUCAAUGGACGCACGUCUGAACCAGCCAUGCCGCGUGCAGGAAGACGGCUCUAUGAGUUGUAAACUGCUUUUGUACGAGGGUAAACGCAGAUACGCGUAUCUGUCUGAAAGUAUCGUACGAAUAAGGAUCGGCUAACUCCGUGCCAGCAGCCGCGGUAAUACGGAGGAUUCAAGCGUUAUCCGGAUUUAUUGGGUUUAAAGGGUGCGUAGGCGGUCGGAUAAGUUAGAGGUGAAAUCCCGAGGCUCAACUUCGGAAUUGCCUCUGAUACUGUUCGGCUAGAGAGUAGUUGCGGUAGGCGGAAUGUAUGGUGUAGCGGUGAAAUGCUUAGAGAUCAUACAGAACACCGAUUGCGAAGGCAGCUUACCAAGCUACUUCUGACGUUGAGGCACGAAAGCGUGGGGAGCAAACAGGAUUAGAUACCCCGGGUAGUC
RNAcentral lists this ribosomal RNA (461 nucleotides) under uncultured bacterium. RNAcentral describes it as "partial 16S ribosomal RNA". It matches the Rfam family "Bacterial small subunit ribosomal RNA", at positions 338 to 795 of the family's 1533-position model. The record is from RNAcentral.